CUCGGCAACGGAUAUCUCGGCUCUCGCAUCGAUGAAGAACGUAGCGAAAUGCGAUACUUGGUGUGAAUUGCAGAAUCCCGUGAACCAUCGAGUCUUUGAACGCAAGUUGCGCCCGAAGCCAUCUGGCCGAGGGCACGUCUGCCUGGGUGUCACGC
Molecule: ribosomal RNA, 155 nt
Filed under: Pehria compacta
Lineage: Eukaryota; Viridiplantae; Streptophyta; Magnoliopsida; Myrtales; Lythraceae
Description: 5.8S ribosomal RNA
Rfam family: 5.8S ribosomal RNA
About the family: 5.8S ribosomal RNA (5.8S rRNA) is a component of the large subunit of the eukaryotic ribosome.
Source: RNAcentral